GUGAAUCAUCAAAUCUUUGAACGCAAAUUGCACUCUCCUCGGAGAGUAUGCCUGUUUGAGGAUCAGCCUAUAAAAAAUCGACAUCGUUGCUGUUUCGCGGUGGCGUUCGUCGGAAAUUGGGUCAUCUUAAAUCCUUUUGAUUUAAGCGACUUAAAAUUUCCUUUUGUUCCCUUGACCUUUCUUAGAUCUUUUUCUUUUCCCCUUUUAGGUAUU
This 213-nucleotide unclassified non-coding RNA is filed under the name Glomus sp. RNAcentral's name for it is "partial contains 5.8S ribosomal RNA and internal transcribed spacer 2". The stretch from base 1 to 65 matches the Rfam family "5.8S ribosomal RNA", at positions 84 to 154 of the family's 154-position model. The record is from RNAcentral. Lineage: Eukaryota; Fungi; Glomeromycota; Glomeromycetes; Glomerales; Glomeraceae.